RNAcentral lists this long non-coding RNA (2823 nucleotides) under Hordeum vulgare. RNAcentral's name for it is "long non-coding RNA (HVUL_LNC003064)". Lineage: Eukaryota; Viridiplantae; Streptophyta; Magnoliopsida; Poales; Poaceae. The record is from RNAcentral.
UUGAAAGGGAUCGCAUACUUUCCGCUCAGUGCGAUAGUGGAGGUAACAUUCUUGCGCUUGGUAAAGUACUUCGAAAACACAAGUGCUGCAGCAAACAAAGCAAUCGACAACCCAUCAAUUAACUUCCCGGAGCGUGUCCAGGUUGACAUGAAUUACAAAAUGCAGAAGUCCGAGAUGCAUACACUUACGUAUACGUAUGCAGAUGAGAAGAAUGCUCGUGGUGAGGUAUUGGAUCGGAAGUUUACAGUUAAGGGAAGGAAGAGGGAGGCGACCGUUCACCUGAAGUCGGAAUAUACCUACAUCAUGAAUAAGUCUGAAGGAUCCACAGUUGAAAAAACUGCCACCUGUUCAUGCAGCAAGCCGCAACUACUUCACAAGCCUUGCUUGAUAGAUCCCGUGAAUCGUCAAAGCUAGAUGUGUUCGGUAAUAGUAAUAGAUCAUUACCUUGUGAUGAACUCGAUGAGCUCCCUCCGGUCGUCCAUCGUGAGGUGAUGACGAUGGUGGGGAAGGAGAGAGAUGUGACAGCGGCGGCGAUGGACUUCCCAUCGCUUCAGUGCAUCCCUCUAGAUCGGAUUAGGGUUAGAGAGUGGGGAACCAGUGGCGGCAGCGAACCUCGUAACCCUUGCCAUGGUCCCCACCUCCUCUACAUAUAGCAUUGCGCGACAGGGGCCCACCAGCCUUGCUUGGGCUGGACGCCACCGAUCAGGGCGUGAGUCAAGGUUCAAUGGGCCGUUGGGCCCAUUGGGAAAGAGAUCAAUCUAACAUUCUCCCCCUUGAUCUCAUCAUAUACUUUUAACUUUACCCGUUUCGUAACAGAUCAAUACAUAGGGCAUGUUUCAUCGUCACGGCUCAAUUGCCGAUGGAAUCAGACAGCCACAAUGUACCUCUCUAUUUUUGAGACAGAUUCUUUAACUUGGGCCCUUUGUUGUUCGGAAAUAUUAGACUAUACCAUAAAACCCAUGUCGAUUGUGUGUUCUCCGAACACACUGGGCGGUAAGCCUUUGAUAAGCAGAUCUGCAAACACUUGUUUGUUGCUUUUAUGCUUCAAGCGUUUUUUCCAUAAUUCCGGACUUUCUCCUUCACAACACGUAACUCUUUGUCAGUUUGUUUGGCAUCAACACUUGACUCGUUGUGGCAGGAGCGAAAGAAUUUAAAAUGGUUAUCGUUGUUGUCAACCAUUAUCAACUCCGGGUAUAGGUAGCCAUUAACCAUUUCGCCUAUCCCUCAGCCUCAUAUCAAGUUAUAACAUAUCAUUGCAUCACAUUGAUGACAAUGGUUUCACUCAUUUGGAGAUUUUCCACACAAAACUCCGAGUAUGAAAGUUAGCGACAAUUGUGGAUUUCGCUAUACAUUUCACAAGUCCUCCUUUGUACUCACAAUGUUUUGAGAGCACUUAUUUCUUUCAGCAUGAGGCCGAUAUCUUUAAAUCCAUUCCAUUAAUUUAUCUAUGGACUGGACAUUGCCAAAACAACCCGGAUAUAUACGUGAACUGUGUCACGGUAAUAUCUUGAGCUUCCAACAACUGAAGCAUAUGGUACCAUAUCCGUUUACAAUCUUUUCUUAUUAACUUUUGGAACACCAGAGUUUCCACUUCCAUUACCCUUGACUAUAAGAACAGGCGUAGGUUUUCUCGUAUGCAUGCUUUAGAGAUCUUUCUUAGCAUGUCCAUGCGACAUUCCUAAUACCCCCUUUUAUUCUUUUGAACUUUGAGGACAAGAACUUCUUUUCUCCUCCUGCAGUAGAUUGACAUCACCACUAGCAAGUAGGACAUCAUCCACAUGCAUAGGAAUUGGGAAACGAAUUUCCCAUUCUAUGACUUUGCAUGAAUGCAAUUGUCCUCUCAUUUUCUUUGCACAAAAUCUUUCGAUUUAAGUCAUGUUUUACACCUUUACAUAUUUCCUUUGGAGUCACAUUUGCCUUGUAGACCCUUCAUAAAAUCUAUGUUAGUGAAAUUCAAAUGAUGGAAUUCCACUAACAUAGACUUUAUAGUAGUCACAAGUAUCUGAUUUUCACAUGCCUAGAGACCAUCAAAAUCUCAGGUACUGGCACUUAUUUCAUAUGGGGUUGUCGUUGCUCUGUCAUUGCCAAGAGGCAAAUUCAUUCUAUAGUCACCCAUUUCCAAAAGGCAAUAGGUUUUACAGGGACCUGUAUCACAAGAUCCCUUGUAGAGCUAACAACAGGUGUUGUAUAGGUCAUACAACACGCUCCCCAGAUUACUCCAUCUUCACUGAAGAAAUGGCGUAUCUUUAAACUUUCUUCUUUAUGGCACUUUAAGCACCACCGUUGUAUUCCUUAGUCUGCAUUCGGAACUAUAAAAGAUCCAAAAAUACAACUGUUUCUUUUCUUUAGGGGUAUCAUAAUGACGGUAUUCAGAUGACUGUCGUACUCCCCUUGACAAUCACAUUCUUCAUUAAUGGAUCACUUUAGAUGCAUAAUGUGCAUCACAUCAUCUAAAGUACAGAGGAGUCAUGAAAUACAUUACAAUGUAUUUCAUGUCUCUUUCUCCCCCUCGAAAUGUGGCAAGAACUUUUCUGCCACAAUUUCGAAACCCAUUCAUAGCUCUUGUGAAAUGAGGAAACUUCGAUUGUCUAGCUCAUUCAUCUUAUCUCUUCAUGUAAAAUGAAGUUAUAAGUUAACUAGUAUGGGAGUACUUUUUCCUCAUUUCAUUUCAGAAACUCAACAGANGCGAACCUCGUAACCCUUGCCAUGGUCCCCACCUCCUCUACAUAUAGCACUGCGCGACAGGGGCCCACCAGCCUUGCUUGGGCUGGACGCCCCCGAUCAGGGCGUGAGUCAAGGUCCAAUGGGCCGUUGGGCCCAUUG